AAGCGUGCGCAGGCGGUUUUGUAAGACUGUCGUGAAAUCCCCGGGCUCAACCUGGGAAUGGCGAUGGUGACUGCAAGGCUAGAGUUUGGCAGGAGGGGGGUAGAAUUCCACGUGUAGCAGUGAAAUGCGUAGAUAUGUGGAGGAACACCGAUGGCGAAGGCAGCCCCCUGGGUCAAAACUGACGCUCAUGCACGAAAGCGUGGGGAGCAAACAGGAUUAGAUACCCGUGU
RNAcentral lists this ribosomal RNA (230 nucleotides) under uncultured bacterium. Its description in RNAcentral is "partial 16S ribosomal RNA". It matches the Rfam family "Bacterial small subunit ribosomal RNA", at positions 563 to 791 of the family's 1533-position model. The record is from RNAcentral.